UACGGGGGGGGCAAGCGUUGUUCGGAAUUACUGGGCGUAAAGGGCUCGUAGGUGGCCAACUAAGUCACACGUGAAAUCCCUCGGCUUAACCGGGGAACUGCGUCCGAUACUGGAUGGCUGGAGGUUGGGAGAGGGAUGCGGAAUUCCAGGUGUAGCGGUGAAAUGCGUAGAUAUCUGGAGGAACACCGGUGGCGAAGGCGGCAUCCUGGACCAAUUCUGACGCUGAGGAGCGAAAGCCAGGGGAGCAAACGGG
RNAcentral lists this ribosomal RNA (253 nucleotides) under uncultured bacterium. Its description in RNAcentral is "partial 16S ribosomal RNA". It matches the Rfam family "Bacterial small subunit ribosomal RNA", at positions 524 to 776 of the family's 1533-position model. The record is from RNAcentral.